AGCCCCGUAGUGGAGUGACCACGUUGGAUUGCAAAUCCAGAGACGCAAAUUAAGACCUGCCGGGGCUU
RNAcentral lists this transfer RNA (68 nucleotides) under Tampichthys ipni (lantern minnow). RNAcentral's name for it is "tRNA-Cys". It matches the Rfam family "tRNA". Rfam says of the family: Transfer RNA (tRNA) molecules are approximately 80 nucleotides in length. Their secondary structure includes four short double-helical elements and three loops (D, anti-codon, and T loops). Lineage: Eukaryota; Metazoa; Chordata; Actinopteri; Cypriniformes; Leuciscidae. The record is from RNAcentral.